AUUCCAUGAUGAGGACAUUCUAGGAUGUAGUCUUGGAAGCGCUCCCAUGCUUCUAGAACAGAUUCAUGAUGUUGUUGCUGAAAACAUGUAAUUUUCCCACGGAGAGC
This 107-nucleotide small nucleolar RNA is filed under the name Sorghum bicolor (sorghum). Its description in RNAcentral is "Plant small nucleolar RNA R71". It matches the Rfam family "Plant small nucleolar RNA R71". From Rfam's summary of the family: R71 is a member of the C/D box family of snoRNAs containing the C (UGAUGA) and D (CUGA) box motifs. Multiple nearly identical copies of this snoRNA have been identified in Arabidopsis, and it is thought to function as a 2'-O-ribose methylation guide for 18S ribosomal RNA. Lineage: Eukaryota; Viridiplantae; Streptophyta; Magnoliopsida; Poales; Poaceae. The record is from Rfam by way of RNAcentral.